GAUGAACGCUGGCGGCGUGCCUAAUACAUGCAAGUCGAGCGAGCGGACGAGAAGCUUGCUUUUCUGAUGUUAGCGGCGGACGGGUGAGUAACACGUGGAUAACCUACCUAUAAGACUGGGAUAACUUCGGGAAACCGGAGCUAAUACCGGAUAAUAUUUUGAACCGCAUGGUUCAAAAGUGAAAGACGGUCUUGCUGUCACUUAUAGAUGGAUCCGCGCUGCAUUAGCUAGUUGGUAAGGUAACGGCUUACCAAGGCAACGAUGCAUAGCCGACCUGAGAGGGUGAUCGGCCACACUGGAACUGAGACACGGUCCAGACUCCUACGGGAGGCAGCAGUAGGGAAUCUGCCGCAAUGGGCGAAAGCCUGACGGAGCAACGCCGCGUGAGUGAUGAAGGUCUUCGGAUCGUAAAACUCUGUUAUUAGGGAAGAACAUAUGUGUAAGUAACUGUGCACAUCUUGACGGUACCUAAUCAGAAAGCCACGGCUAACUACGUG
Molecule: ribosomal RNA, 497 nt
Filed under: uncultured bacterium
Lineage: Bacteria
Description: partial 16S ribosomal RNA
Rfam family: Bacterial small subunit ribosomal RNA
Source: RNAcentral